AUGUCAUAAUAGCGGGUGUGUUGCGGCCCUCGGGGUUUGUGCCGGCGUCUGCAGAGCGUUCGCUGCACACAGGCUCCGGGAGGUGUAGGGCUCCCACGCAGAGCCCUUUUACGCGCACAUGACUGAAUCCUUACCUCUACUCGUACCUCUCGUUCUCCUUCGGCGGGGCAGCCUGCCGUUGGAACAGCCGAAACUCUUUUUGCAUCCAGCAUUACCUGUUCCGAUAACACAACAAUCGUUA
Molecule: unclassified non-coding RNA, 241 nt
Filed under: uncultured Ascomycota
Lineage: Eukaryota; Fungi; Ascomycota
Description: sequence contains ITS1
Source: RNAcentral